CCUACGGGAGGCAGCAGUGGGGAAUAUUGGGCAAUGGGCGCAAGCCUGACCCAGCAACGCCGCGUGAAGGAAGAAGGCUUUAGGGUUGUAAACUUCUUUUCUCAGGGACGAAGCAAGUGACGGUACCUGAGGAAUAAGCCACGGCUAACUACGUGCCAGCAGCCGCGGUAAUACGUAGGUGGCAAGCGUUAUGCGGAUUUACUGGGUGUACAGGGCGUGUAGGCGGGACUGCAAGGCAGAUGUGAAAACUACGGGCUCAACCUGUGGCCUGCAUUUGAAACUGUAGUUCUUGAGUACUGGAGAGGCACGCGGAAUGCGUGGUGUAGCGGUGAAAUGCGUAGAUAUUAGGCGGAACACCAGUGGCGAAGGCGGUCUGCUGGAGAGCAACUGACGCUGAGGCGCGAAAGCGUGGGGAGCGAACAGGAUUAGAUACCCGUGUAGUC
Molecule: ribosomal RNA, 443 nt
Filed under: uncultured bacterium
Lineage: Bacteria
Description: partial 16S ribosomal RNA
Rfam family: Bacterial small subunit ribosomal RNA
Source: RNAcentral